Zophobas morio is the source of this 433-nucleotide long non-coding RNA. RefSeq lists it as uncharacterized. Lineage: Eukaryota; Metazoa; Arthropoda; Insecta; Coleoptera; Tenebrionidae. The record is from RefSeq and is a predicted model, not a curated record. The transcript is spliced from 5 exons.
CCAAUCUCUCCUAAAAGAUCUGUGUCGACAAAGAAAACUCAUUUCCGCAUUGAAACGUCUCUCCCUUAAGUUGAGAGACAUGCGGACUUCUCGCCCCUCCAAGAAAGGUCGAAAAAUUACGGAAGUCUCUCUUAAGGUCAAGUGGGUUACUAAACUUCAAGGGCUGCUCUCUCCCGCUGUCGCCCGAGCUCACCGUGACAGGCAUAGAGAGUGAAACCGCAGAUAUUCUGAAAAGCGUCAUGCAGCCGCUUUGCUUGACUUUUCUAACUAUUCACGGCUGCAAGUACAGGAUCAUAUUUAAAAGUGGCGAUGAUUUGCGGCAGGACCAGUUGACCAUCCAGCUCUUCAAGUUGAUGGACGAGCUGUUACGUAAAGAGCAACUGGACUUGAAGUUGACUCCUUACAGGGUACUGGCCACCGACGUGGACACCGG